Molecule: ribosomal RNA, 381 nt
Filed under: Schmidingerella taraikaensis
Lineage: Eukaryota; Ciliophora; Spirotrichea; Tintinnida; Rhabdonellidae
Description: partial Eukaryotic large subunit ribosomal RNA
Rfam family: Eukaryotic large subunit ribosomal RNA
Source: RNAcentral
UAGUAACGGCGAGUGAAGCGGGAAAAGCCCACAUUGAAAAUCCUUUUAUUAGGAAUUGUAGUCUGUAGAAGCUUAUCCAGCUACUUGUCUCGGUUUGAGUCCCUUGGAAUAGGGCAUCCAUAGAGGGUGAGAGUCCCAUUCAUGGCUGAGAAACAAGUAGCGCACGGAUGGUUUUCAAAGAGUCGAGUUGCUUGGGACUGCAGCUCAAAGUUGGUGGUAAAUUCCAUCAAAGGCUAAAUACUGGCGAGAGACCGAUAGCGAACAAGUAGUGUGAACGAAAGAUGAAAAGAACUUUGAAAAGAGAGUUAAAAAGUACCUGAAAUCGUUGAAAGGGAAGUGACGGCUACCAGUGUUUUUGCUUGUUGUUUAUCUAGUCGCAAG